CGUUGAGCGGUGGAAGUCCCAGCGAUUUCUCUUCUUUCAAAAGCCUUCAUCAUCCUCGUUUAUAAAACCGUUCCUUCAGUGUAGUUCAUGGCAAGAUGGAUGGCAAAAAAUGGUUUGGUUUUGCUGCAAAAGAACAGGCGUUGCAGUUUGCAACUGAGAAGUAUGAUCAUGAUGAAAGUCUUUACAAAUAAGAAUGCAGGUGCAAUGACGCUCUGAAGAUAACUGAAAAGGUGAAAGUCACUCAGGGCAUCGGAGACACAAGUUGCAUCAAUAACAAGUGCUGAUGGUUCGAAAUGGCACCAGUUAGGAUUGCAGGCCAUUUUUUAAAAAAUGAUUUGGAGGAUGCCUGCCUUGCCAGAACUUCAAACAGCAAGCUUGGUGGUGGGUGGCCUUGGUCGUUGUCCAAAGCAUUCAAGACUACAACAUCCUGCUGAACUGCCAUCAGUGGUCACCAUUGGAAUCUCGUUAUUGAUCUAAGAUGGCAAGGCUGUUAUUUGGUACCGAUACCUUGUUUUACAUUGAUGGCUGUGCCCAAUCACUGGUUUCCUCUUUGACCGUUCCAAGUGAUCAAGAAUCGUCAAGGUCUGAUUUGCAGCAGUUUCCGAGAUGCGUAUGAAACAGUUCAUGAUAUGCUGCUACUAGGACUGUGUAGAACUCUGUGGGCGUCCCUCAAUCCAUCCAACUGAUGCAACUUCAACUAUUCUUCAGGCAGUUGGCUGUUUCAACAUGUCAAAAUUAGGGGUACUCUACUCGAGUGUAAGGUGAAAAUGCAUUUUCUGCACUAAACAGUUCCUCACCAGGGAAAUCAUAGGUCUUGCCGAUAUGGAGGAUGCAAAGAAAAAACUUGAAACUUUCUGAAAUGUCCUGUAUUUUGAAACCAAUAAAAAAUACGCUUUGUUUUAUUGUAAA
Long non-coding RNA from Lineus longissimus, 909 nucleotides. RefSeq lists it as uncharacterized. Lineage: Eukaryota; Metazoa; Nemertea; Pilidiophora; Heteronemertea; Lineidae. The record is from RefSeq and is a predicted model, not a curated record. The transcript has 14 exons.